Long non-coding RNA from Bos indicus x Bos taurus (hybrid cattle), 587 nucleotides. Lineage: Eukaryota; Metazoa; Chordata; Mammalia; Artiodactyla; Bovidae. The record is from Ensembl.
GUUGUUAUAUUUGGCUUCUUAGGGAAAUACCUGAGCAGAAUGUCCACCUCUCUUGGCGUCUCAUAAUUUUAUUAUCAGUCUUUCUAGUCACCUGCUCUUACAAAUAGGCCCGGGAACUUUGGGCAUCCUUGUGCCUUAAUGGUAUUUUUAAAAUGCCUCCUACCUCCUCUUUAAUUAACUGCAAUCAGGAAGGCUAGUUGGUGGACACAUGGUGUCAUCACUCUGUGAAAUGCUGCCUGAUGGCUAUAAACAUGGCCAUAUGCUCUCUGUGAAAUAUGGCUGCAAUCACCAGCAACAGGAACAGCUGAUGGGAGAAGAAGACUCGGCUUCUCACUUUCUUCUGCUUUAUUCUCCAAACCUGGGAGGCACUUUGCAGGAAAUCCUCAAGGUACAAAGAGGAUAUUUUGAAACCAAUCUGUUUACAUCAGAAGUGUUGAACAAGUUUGUUAUACAAGACAAAAGCUCAUGAUGGAGUGAUGUUGAGGUUCACUGUCAAAGAAAGGGGCUCAGCUUGCCUUUGAUGUAAGUAGAGUUCUUUUUGGAAAGGUAUUGGUUCUCUUAAUACAUAGAAAAAGAGAGCAUGAAGA